UACGUAGGGUGCGAGCGUUAAUCGGAAUUACUGGGCGUAAAGCGUGCGCAGGCGGUUUUGUAAGACAGGCGUGAAAUCCCCGGGCUUAACCUGGGAAUGGCGCUUGUGACUGCAAGGCUAGAGUGCGUCAGAGGGGGGUAGAAUUCCACGUGUAGCAGUGAAAUGCGUAGAGAUGUGGAGGAAUACCGAUGGCGAAGGCAGCCCCCUGGGACGAGACUGACGCUCAUGCACGAAAGCGUGGGGAGCAAACAGGAUUAGAUACCCUGGUAGUCCACGCCCUAAACGAUGUCAACUAGUUGUUGGGGAUUCAUUUCCUCAGUAACGUAGCUAACGCGUGAAGUUGACCGCCUGGGGAGUACGGUCGCAAGAUUAAA
This 374-nucleotide ribosomal RNA is filed under the name uncultured bacterium. RNAcentral describes it as "bacterial SSU rRNA". It matches the Rfam family "Bacterial small subunit ribosomal RNA", at positions 524 to 898 of the family's 1533-position model. The record is from RNAcentral.